Molecule: ribosomal RNA, 413 nt
Filed under: uncultured bacterium
Lineage: Bacteria
Description: bacterial SSU rRNA
Rfam family: Bacterial small subunit ribosomal RNA
Source: RNAcentral
GUGCCAGCCGCCGCGGUAAUACGGAGGGUGCAAGCGUUAAUCGGAAUUACUGGGCGUAAAGAGUGCGUAGGUGGUUUGGUAAGUUAUCUGUGAAAUCCCUGGGCUCAACCUGGGCAGGUCAGAUAAUACUGCUGAACUCGAGUAUGGGAGAGGGUAGUGGAAUUUCCGGUGUAGCGGUGAAAUGCGUAGAGAUCGGAAGGAACACCAGUGGCGAAGGCGGCUACCUGGCCUAAUACUGACACUGAGGCACGAAAGCGUGGGGAGCAAACAGGAUUAGAUACCCUGGUAGUCCACGCCGUAAACGAUGUCAACUAGCUGUUGGUUAUAUGAAUAUAAUUAGUGGCGCAGCAAACGCGAUAAGUUGACCGCCUGGGGAGUACGGUCGCAAGAUUAAAACUCAAAUGAAUUGACGG